Molecule: ribosomal RNA, 253 nt
Filed under: uncultured bacterium
Lineage: Bacteria
Description: partial 16S ribosomal RNA
Rfam family: Bacterial small subunit ribosomal RNA
Source: RNAcentral
UACGUAGGGUGCAAGCGUUGUCCGGAAUUAUUGGGCGUAAAGGGCUCGUAGGCGGUCCAUCGCGUCGGGAGUGAAAAGCUGGGGCUUAACCCCAGUCCUGCUUCCGAUACGGGUGGACUAGAGGUAUGCAGGGGAGAACGGAAUUCCUGGUGUAGCGGUGAAAUGCGCAGAUAUCAGGAAGAACACCAAUGGCGAAGGCAGCUCUCUGGGACGGUACUGACGCUGAGACGCGAAAGCGUGGGGAGCGAACAGG